GUGUUUGCUUCAACAGCACAUAUACUAAAAUUUGAAUGAUACAGAGAUUAGCAUGGCCCCUGCACAAGGAUGAUGUGCAAAUUAUUAAAAUGUUUCAUAUCUUU
Small nuclear RNA from Callorhinus ursinus (northern fur seal), 104 nucleotides. The record is from RefSeq and is a predicted model, not a curated record. Lineage: Eukaryota; Metazoa; Chordata; Mammalia; Carnivora; Otariidae.